UCUACGGGGGAUGUUGUACAGCUCGCGCUCUUUGCAGGAGACCAUACAAUGAAAUGUGGUGCGUUUUUUUUUCAUUUCGGCGCCAUUUUCGAUUGGACCCGAGCAACAUUUGAGUAAGCCAGCGGAAGAAACCAGCAGAUCUGAAGGGAAUGUACUAUAGCAGCACAUAAAUACUGGAGGUGAAUGUGGUGUUAUCCAGUAUUGCUGUUCUGCUGUAGUAAGACCUGUCAGCACUUACAGACUCCAAAGAGCCACACCAGAUCCUUGGCCGAGAGCGGACUGUACCCCUGCAUGUAUGUGGUGGAAAAACACUACCUGUCUGUACUCUAGAUAAACAAUGCUGUCAAAUAAAAUCAACAGUGAGCUAAA
Molecule: long non-coding RNA, 369 nt
Organism: Carassius carassius (crucian carp)
Lineage: Eukaryota; Metazoa; Chordata; Actinopteri; Cypriniformes; Cyprinidae
Exons: 2
Source: RefSeq, a predicted model, not a curated record